UAGAGUUUAGUUGAUAGACAACAUUAAAUUGCAAGUUUAAAGGAAAAUAUUUUAAUUCUAU
RNAcentral lists this transfer RNA (61 nucleotides) under Whitmania acranulata. Its description in RNAcentral is "tRNA-Cys". The record is from RNAcentral. Lineage: Eukaryota; Metazoa; Annelida; Clitellata; Hirudinida; Haemopidae.